Molecule: non-coding RNA, 955 nt
Filed under: Dalmatolacerta oxycephala (sharp-snouted rock lizard)
Lineage: Eukaryota; Metazoa; Chordata; Lepidosauria; Squamata; Lacertidae
Description: partial small subunit ribosomal RNA
Rfam family: Bacterial small subunit ribosomal RNA
Source: RNAcentral
ACAGUUUUGGUCCUGGGCUUACCGUUCUUUUUUUUCAAGAUUAUACAUGCAAGCCUCAGCACACCAGUGAAAAUGCCCAUAAACCCCUAAAAAGAUUAUUGGAGCAGGUAUCAGGCACUACAACUCAAGCCCAUGACGCCUUGCCACGCCACACCCCCACGGGAAAAUCAGCAGUAAUAAACAUUGGGCUAUAAGUGAAAACUUGACCCAACUAUGAUAAGACAGGGCUGGUUAAUUUCGUGCCAGCCACCGCGGUUAUACGAAAAGCCCAAAAUAACGAUUAAACGGCGUAAAAUGUGACUAGAGACUCUUAAUAAAAAAAUAUUAGAACCUAUAACUAGUUGUAAAAUACUUAGUUAACAGGGAAAACACACNNNNNNAUUUUUAAUAUUAUAUUCUUGACCACACGAAAGCUUAGAAACAAACUAGGAUUAGAUACCCUACUAUGCUAAGCCCUAAACAUUGAUUAGCUAACAUACUAGACUUUCCGCCAGAGGAUUACAAGUGAAAAACUUAAAACUCAAAGGACUUGACGGUAUCCCAUAUCGACCUAGAGGAGCCUGUCCUAUAAUCGAUACCCCUCGUUCCACCCAACCUCAACUAGCAAAAUAACAGCCUAUAUACCGCCGUCGAUCAGCCUACCCCGUGAGGGUCCAACAGUAGACAUAAUAACCCAACCGCUAAUACGUCAGGUCAAGGUGUAGCAAAUGUUGAGGAAGAGAUUGGCUACAUUUUUUAACAUAAAAAACACGAAAAGCACCAUGAAACCGUGCAUGAAGGUGAAUUUAGUAGUAAAAUAGAUAAGAGUGUCUAUUUUAACAACGCUCUGGGAUGCGUACACACCGCCCGUCACCCUCCUCAACAACAAAAAUCCAACCUUUAUAAACCCAAAAAACAAAACAGAGGAGGCAAGUCGUAACAUGGUAAGCGUACCGGAAGGUGUGCUUGGAUUAAC